RNAcentral lists this ribosomal RNA (253 nucleotides) under uncultured bacterium. RNAcentral's name for it is "partial 16S ribosomal RNA". It matches the Rfam family "Bacterial small subunit ribosomal RNA", at positions 524 to 776 of the family's 1533-position model. The record is from RNAcentral.
GACGGAGGGUGCAAGCGUUGUUCGGAUUGACUGGGCGUAAAGGGCGCGUAGGCGGCCACGCACGUCCGUUGUGAAAUCGCCCGGCUCAACUGGGCGGGGUCAGCGGAUACGGUGUGGCUCGAGCAAGCUAGGGGGCAAUGGAAUUCCCGGUGUAGUGGUGGAAUGCGUAGAUAUCGGGAGGAACACCAGUGGCGAAGGCGGUUGCCUGGAGCUUUGCUGACGCUGAGGCGCGAAAGCGUGGGGAGCGAUCCGG